This 278-nucleotide long non-coding RNA is filed under the name Linum usitatissimum (flax). Its description in RNAcentral is "long non-coding RNA (LUSI_LNC000775)". The record is from RNAcentral. Lineage: Eukaryota; Viridiplantae; Streptophyta; Magnoliopsida; Malpighiales; Linaceae.
UCUUUCACUGCGAGAUCUGUGUACUCUGCUUCUUAUACAGUGGACAUUGCCGUGUGACAAAAAUCUGAGAAUUAGAGAGAGUUAUUGUUUGAUGGUAUUUGUUGUGAUCUUUUGGUUUCGAAAUUUCCUUCUGUGAGAUCAGGCUGGAGCUGGUGCAGAGUGCAGACUAUAGCAUCCAGAUUGGAGGAGGACUGGGUUUGCUUGUGAGAUGAUUACGUACGAGGAUGAUGAUGUUGUACGGUGGGGUUUGCAGCUGUUUGAGAGCGAUCCCUACUCUA